UACGGGGGAUGCAAGCGUUAUCCGGAUUUAUUGGGUUUAAAGGGUGCGUAGGCUGUGAGGUAAGUCAGCGGUGAAAUGCCCCCGCUCAACGGGGUGAAGUGCCAUUGGUACUGCCUUGCUGGAAUGCGGAUGCCGUGGGAGGAAUGUGUGGUGUAGCGGUGAAAUGCAUAGAUAUCACACAGAACACCGAUUGCGAAGGCAUCUCACGAAUCCGCGAUUGACGCUGAGGCACGAAAGCGUGGGUAUCAAACAGG
This 254-nucleotide ribosomal RNA is filed under the name uncultured bacterium. RNAcentral's name for it is "partial 16S ribosomal RNA". It matches the Rfam family "Bacterial small subunit ribosomal RNA", at positions 524 to 776 of the family's 1533-position model. The record is from RNAcentral.